This 75-nucleotide transfer RNA is filed under the name Candidatus Kuenenbacteria bacterium CG2_30_39_24. RNAcentral's name for it is "tRNA-Gly". It matches the Rfam family "tRNA". From Rfam's summary of the family: Transfer RNA (tRNA) molecules are approximately 80 nucleotides in length. Their secondary structure includes four short double-helical elements and three loops (D, anti-codon, and T loops). RNAcentral also lists the same sequence under 5 other names. The record is from RNAcentral. Lineage: Bacteria; Candidatus Kueneniibacteriota.
GCGGGUAUAGUAUAAUGGUUAUUAUGUCAGGUUUCCAACCUGAAGAUACGGGUCCGAUUCCCAUUACCCGCUCCA